RNAcentral lists this ribosomal RNA (499 nucleotides) under uncultured bacterium. Its description in RNAcentral is "bacterial SSU rRNA". It matches the Rfam family "Bacterial small subunit ribosomal RNA", at positions 11 to 507 of the family's 1533-position model. The record is from RNAcentral.
GUUUGAUCCUGGCUCAGAUUGAACGCUGGCGGAAUGCUUUACACAUGCAAGUCGAACGGCAGCACGGGGCAACCUGGUGGCGAGUGGCGAACGGGUGAGUAAUACAUCGGAACGUGCCCAAUCGUGGGGGAUAACGUAGCGAAAGUUACGCUAAUACCGCAUACGAUCUACGGAUGAAAGCGGGGGAUCGCAAGACCUCGCGCGAAUGGAGCGGCCGAUGUCAGAUUAGGUAGUUGGUGGGGUAAAGGCUCACCAAGCCAACGAUCUGUAGCUGGUCUGAGAGGACGACCAGCCACACUGGAACUGAGACACGGUCCAGACUCCUACGGGAGGCAGCAGUGGGGAAUUUUGGACAAUGGGCGCAAGCCUGAUCCAGCCAUUCCGCGUGCAGGAUGAAGGCCUUCGGGUUGUAAACUGCUUUUGUACGGAACGAAACGGCGAGCUCUAAUACAGUUUGCUAAUGACGGUACCGUAAGAAUAAGCACCGGCUAACUACGUG